GAGAUUGCCCCUCUCGAAGUAGUUGUAGUUAAGGCCCAUCAGGCCGCCCCAGGACUCCAGGUUCGGGAUCUCCACCCCCUCGCCGUAGGCGUCGUAGAACCUGACGCUAAUGAUGGAGUCCGUUCCUCCCUUGAAGAUCGACCCGGUCCUUAUGUACACCGUAUACACGCAAUCUUCAUCGGCAAAAACGGCGACUGUGGAGACGGCGAGGACGAGGAGGAGAAAAGAGAGACAGCGAGUGUUGAAUGCCAUGUUUGGCUGUGGAAAUGCGAAACUG
This 277-nucleotide unclassified non-coding RNA is filed under the name Hevea brasiliensis (rubber tree). Lineage: Eukaryota; Viridiplantae; Streptophyta; Magnoliopsida; Malpighiales; Euphorbiaceae. The record is from RNAcentral.